GAAAAAGGAAGGGCUAUUCUACUGUUAAAGUUUCUUUUGGGGGGCGUAGAUGCAAAAGUAUUUUUUCUUUUUGUCCUUAGUUUUAUUUGAAAAGGGCUCAAAAUUUGGAAAUCCAUAUAAAAUCAUAGGAAAUCGAUAAAAAUACAAAAUAAUUUUUUUUGGCUUCCUCAUGCUCAUAUAUAACUAUUAAAAAUACUUGUUCUUGUGAAAUAUGUGUUUCUAUUGCUUAUUAAAAUGCAUGUUGCUUAAUCUCCUUAUUUUGAAAUAAAUAGUUCUCAUGCACAUAAAAUCCUGAUAAAUUCACAGUAGUAUAC
Molecule: long non-coding RNA, 314 nt
Filed under: Setaria viridis
Lineage: Eukaryota; Viridiplantae; Streptophyta; Magnoliopsida; Poales; Poaceae
Description: long non-coding RNA (SVIR_LNC001892)
Source: RNAcentral